Molecule: ribosomal RNA, 509 nt
Filed under: uncultured bacterium
Lineage: Bacteria
Description: bacterial SSU rRNA
Rfam family: Bacterial small subunit ribosomal RNA
Source: RNAcentral
GACGAACGCUGGCGGCGUGCCUAACACAUGCAAGUCGAGCGAAGAAUACAUAAAGAAAUCUUCGGAUGGAAUUAUGUAUUUCUUAGCGGCGGACGGGUGAGUAACGCGUGAGGAACCUGCCUUGUACUAGGGGAUAGCCUCGGGAAACCGGGAUUAAUACCCUAUGACACUUGAAAGUCGCAUGACUUUCAAGUCAAAGCGAUUUAGCGGUACAAGAUGGCCUCGCGUCCCAUUAGCUAGUUGGCGAGGUAAUAGCUCACCAAGGCGACGAUGGGUAGCCGGCCUGAGAGGGUGAACGGCCACACUGGAACUGAGACACGGUCCAGACUCCUACGGGAGGCAGCAGUGGGGAAUAUUGCACAAUGGAGGAAACUCUGAUGCAGCGACGCCGCGUGAGCGAUGAAAGGUUUUCGAAAUCGUAAAAGCUCUGUCCUAAGGGACGAUAAUGACGGUACCUUAGGAGGAAGCCCCGGCUAACUACGUGCCAGCAGCCGCGGUAAAAAUAGACG